Molecule: ribosomal RNA, 467 nt
Filed under: uncultured bacterium
Lineage: Bacteria
Description: partial 16S ribosomal RNA
Rfam family: Bacterial small subunit ribosomal RNA
Source: RNAcentral
GACGAACGCUGGCGGCGUGCUUAACACAUGCAAGUCGAACGGAAAGGCCCUGCUUUUGUGGGGUGCUCGAGUGGCGAACGGGUGAGUAACACGUGAGUAACCUGCCCUUGACUUUGGGAUAACUUCAGGAAACUGGGGCUAAUACCGGAUAGGAGCUCCUGCUGCAUGGUGGGGGUUGGAAAGUUUCGGCGGUUGGGGAUGGACUCGCGGCUUAUCAGCUUGUUGGUGGGGUAGUGGCUUACCAAGGCUUUGACGGGUAGCCGGCCUGAGAGGGUGACCGGCCACAUUGGGACUGAGAUACGGCCCAGACUCCUUCGGGAGGCAGCAGUGGGGAAUAUUGCACAAUGGGCGGAAGCCUGAUGCAGCAACGCCGCGUGCGGGAUGACGGCCUUCGGGUUGUAAACCGCUUUCGCCUGUGACGAAGCGUGAGUGACGGUAAUGGGUAAAGAAGCACCGGCUAACUACGU